UACGGAGGGUGCAAGCGUUAAUCGGAAUUACUGGGCGUAAAGGGCGCGUAGGUGGUUAUAUAAGUUGGCUGUGAAAUCCCUGGGCUUAACCUAGGGUUGUCAGCCGAUACUGUAUGACUAGAGAGUGGUAGAGGGUAGUGGAAUUUCCGGUGUAGCGGUGAAAUGCGUAGAGAUCGGAAGGAACACCAGUGGCGAAGGCGACUACCUGGGCCACAACUGACACUGAGGCGCGAAAGCGUGGGGAGCAAACAGG
Molecule: ribosomal RNA, 253 nt
Filed under: uncultured bacterium
Lineage: Bacteria
Description: partial 16S ribosomal RNA
Rfam family: Bacterial small subunit ribosomal RNA
Source: RNAcentral